AAGGUGACCAGGUGAGAGCAAAGCCCAACUUCCUGGGGAAAAGCUCUCAGCGCAGUGAAUGCUACAUUCGGAGGUAGGAAGGCUCUGGAUGUGAGUCUUCAUGUUUGUUUUUUGUUUUUUGUUUUUUUUUCUCUAAAAUUACCAAAAAAGAGGAAUAUCCACAGAAGCAGAAGUAGGAAUGGGGAAGGAGGGGACAAGUUUAGACCAAGCUCUUCUGUGACCUCACUUCUGCUUUUGAAGUCCCACAGCUCUAUAAGCUUGGAUCUCCUGACCUUGGCCUGGACCUGGAUCUGGGAGGCUGACUCUAUUGACCAUGGGGAAGGAGCUAACAGGAUUGAACCUCAGGACCGUCCUCUGCAAAAUGAGGAAUUUAGGCUAGCACAGUGGUUCUCAAAGUGUGGUCCCCAGACCAGCGACCUCAGCAUCGCCCUGGAACUAGUUAGAAAUGCACAUUCUCUGGUCCCAACCCAGACCUACUGAACCAGUGCCUCUGGGAGUGGAUCCCAGAAAUCUGUGUUUUAACACACGUGCUAUCUAGGAGGUUCUGAUGCAGGCCAAAGUUCGAAAACCGCUGAACUGGAAGAUCUCUAAAAUUCCUCCUAGGAGAUAAACCUUUAAGACUUGCUAUAAGAAUUAAGUGCCAUGAUUAUGGUGCAUAUUAUUUAUGAAACUUGUUCAAUGUGCCCUGCCCUUCCUAUUCAUUAUCUCUACAACCUCCUUCUAAAAUAAGUAUCAAUUAAAAGUAUUUUCCAAAUGAGCAAAAGGAGGCCCGGAGAGGUUAAAUAAUUCAUCAGGAGACACGCAGCUGGAGAUGAACAGGAGGAGGAUUUGAAUGGGAAGCCAUCUCAGUGUGCUCUCUCUACUACCUCCCAUGAGCAAACACAGUGACAAGUGAACUCAAUGAAUAUCAUUUUCCGGUGAUUCUGUGACCUUUGAGUACCUGCAUCCUCCUACCUUAACCAACUUUGCCAGCCUCCUUCACUGCCCUACCUGAUCGACAGUAAUUUCCAGCUCUCUUCCUUCCCCCAUGCUCAGCCCAACACCCAGCCCUGGCUUUCUCACCUUCCUGGGACCCCCUGCGUUCCACGGUAGUGAACAGAGACACACGACAGCCAUUCCGUGGAUCUACAGUGACUGUUCUCCUGGACACAGAGCCAACGUGGCUACUGAAGGAAAGAGGCCAGUCCUAAGUUCAGGAUCUGUGACGGCCUGGAAAAUGUACUCUGUCCCCCCACAACCUCCCGCUACAACCUCCCCCUAAAAGAAAAACUUUCUACAGGUGAUGUUGAGAUUGCCACAGGCUUUGGUCCUCACAGACUGCAAAUACCUAUGGGAGAAAGAAUGCUUCCACAGAGGAGCGCCGAGGGGAAGGAGAGCACCUCACUGGGAUGGGAUGGGAGUGGGGUGACAGCACCGCCCAGAGGCAUACAAGCUGGCCUCUCUCUGGUUUUGUGGAGGCGGCCCUUGCUGGUAUCCUAGAGUUGUCUCCCUGGCCUGCUUAGCAACGCACAGCUCCUAGGGGCCAUCACCCACUAGGAGGGCAGGGCCUUUUGUCUUUUUUUUUUUUUUUUUUUUUGAGACAGAGUCUCUGUCUAUCACCCCAGCUGGAGUGCAGUAGCAUGAUCUCGACUCACUGCAACCUCCGCCUCCCGGGUUCAAGCGAUUCUCCUGCCUGCCUGAGCCUCCUGAGUAGCUGGGAUUACAGGAGUACGCCACCAAGCCCGGCUAAUUUUUUAUUUUUAGUAGAGAUGGGGUUUCACCAUGUUGGCCAGGCUGGUCUCAAACUCCGGACCUCAUGAUCCACCCACCUUGGCCUCCCAGAGUGCUGGGAUUACAGGUGUGAGCCACUGCACCCGGCCAGAUUUUUGUCUUUUUACUGUUGUAUCUCCCCACAUAGUAAGUGCCUAAUCAAUUGAGUUGAAUAAAUGAAUUCUUG
Molecule: long non-coding RNA, 1936 nt
Filed under: Homo sapiens (human)
Lineage: Eukaryota; Metazoa; Chordata; Mammalia; Primates; Hominidae
Description: HSALNT0024459
Source: RNAcentral